Molecule: ribosomal RNA, 253 nt
Filed under: uncultured bacterium
Lineage: Bacteria
Description: partial 16S ribosomal RNA
Rfam family: Bacterial small subunit ribosomal RNA
Source: RNAcentral
UACAGAGGUCUCGAGCGUUAGGCGGAAUCACUGGGCUUAGAGCGUGUGUAGGCGGAUCGGUAAGUACCUUGUGAAAUCCCACAGCUUAACUGUGGAACUGCUUGGUAUACUGCCAGUCUUGAGCCACUUAGGGGCUACCGGAACAAAUGGUGGAGCGGUGAAAUGCGUAGAUAUCAAGAGGAACACCAGUGGCGAAGGCGAAUCUCUGGACAAUUCCUGACACUGAUGCUCGAAAGCUAGGGGAGCAAACGGG